UAUUUGUUUCGGUGGAAGUGGGGUGGAAGUGGAGUGGAGAGAAGUCGUUUUCGUCAUAAACAACCACUUCCGUUGUUUGGUUCACCGUAAAAAUGUUACGAUCAAAACUCGAGUUAACUUCAAACAAUAUAAUUGACUUUAGCCCAGCGUGGGCCGAAGUCAAUUAUGGUGAAGAGAGGUGAAGAAAAAAUAAUAAAAUAAUAUAUUAGGUAAAAAUUGUUAUAUUUAAAUAUAUUUACUUAUAUUACUAUUUAAUUUCUUAUUCAGUUGGCAUAUUUAAAAUAUGAUAAAAAUUGAUUAGUUAAGUUUUAAUAUUUUCUUUAUUUAGUUUGUACAAUUAAAAUAUAAUAAAAUUUGAUUAAUUAAGUAUUAAUAUUUUUUUAUAAUUUUAUUGUUGUAUUACUAUAAUUUAUAUAUAUAAAAUAAUUUAGCUGUUUUAAAUUAAAUUUUAAUUAUAUAAAAAUAUAAUUAUAUUAUUUUUAUUUAUUAACAUAUUUAUUAUUUAUAUAUAAAUUAUAGUUUUGUAUCAUACACUUUCUACUAAACAAACAAUAGAACUAAUGAAACUUCACUUCAUAACUACGAAACAAACAGCGAAAAAAAAGUAGUUUUCACCAAACUCCACUUCAACCCAAAGUUCAUUUCAACCUAAAGUCCAGUUUAAAAGAAACAAACAUAUCCUUAUAAAAAAAAAAAGUUUUUUGAUGUAGGCUGAAAAAUACUAUAGUAUAUACUGUAGCUAUAGUAUUAUAGUGGCAAAUACUAUGGCAACAGGUGAAAGAUGAAAAAAAAAAGGAAAGAAUAGAGAGAAAGAAGAAAGCGAAAGAAGUAGGAAACGAGACAUAGUCGAUGAGAAAGACCACACUAAUCUAAAUAACAUUUUCAUUAAUCAAAAUUUUUUUAAAACAUAAGCUUUGUCUCUAUUUAUAUUGAAAAAAAUACUAAUUGUAAUCCUAAUCAAAUCCUAAUAUCUUAAAAAAUUUUCUAAUACAAAUAAAUCUAGUUCUAAUUUAAAACUUCUAUAUUUAUAUUCCUAAUUUUUAGAAAUUUAUUCCAUAUAGAAAUUUUAUAAAAAUCUAUUAAAAUUCUCCACAACAAAGUAACAAAAAUAAUAAUUAAAAAAUUUAAGUUAUAGUUGAUUUCUUGGCCGCAUUUGUACACUUCCACUGCAUACUCGUCCUUAAGAUCAACAACAGUGAAGUUAGCAAUUGAAUUUUUAGCAUAUAUAAUAUGAUAAUUAAUAUAGUCCAAUUUCGAAAGCUUGAGUAGUUUUCAUUAAUAGCUUCCCGAUUGUGGUAGUGUGAAAAGGAUGAUUGGCUUCUAGAAGUUUAUAUAAGCACACAAAUAUUUUUUGUCGAAACAUAGAAAAACCUGUGUUGGUGGAGGAGGAUCUCCCACUAUAUAUAUAUAUAUAUAUAUAUAUAUAUAUAUUGAGAAAAAUGUAGCAUGCUGCUUACUUCGUUUAUUUUAUUUAAAAAUAAACUUAGCUAGAAAUAUGAAUCAACUAGCAUUCGAAUUUGGGAUCUUGGACACCCACUAUAUUUUGAAGCCAAUUUGUAGCAGAAAAGGCUCCUUUACUGUAAUGUCGGCAAUGAUGAAUCAUAGUAGGAGGACAAGCUCCUCAAUAAUCUCUUGAGGGGGCUCGACAGUUGGUGAAGGCGACGGAUCAGAAACAAUGGAGUUGGUGGUUUGGCUUUCUAACUGCUGGAACAAUAGUAUAUCAAACUAUCAUGAUUACCAUAAAAAUAUAUAAUACCUAAUUUUCUCCGCGGUUAGAAAAAAAUUUUUAUCUCAUGCCAUAGUCGGCCGAGCAUGAUACCCCAUUCUUUCAUGUCUAUCACAUGAUAAGUACAGUUUUGUCUUUGUAUUUAUCUUAUAUAGUGAGUGAUAGAUCUUUAAAGCGCCAUAGAGAAGAAUAUCUUGAUCAAUUUACAGAUGUGAAAAGUCCGGUACCAGUAUGAACGCUACCAACCGAAUUUGGGUAAUUUAGUUUCUCCUUCUAUUCCAGACACUUUCCCAUAUGGUAUGGAACCGAUGGUAUUUCUUAACAAGAAUGCGUGUGAGAAAGUGACAGAAUCGCUACACCCUUUAUAUAGUGUCCAGAUCGAUUUCCCAUGAAAGUUUGAUUAGGAUUCUAUUUAAUUUAAAUAGAUAUGAUAGGGUUAAAAUAUAUCAUACAAAAUAGUUCUAUAUUUAUUAGGAUUGAUAUUUAUUUAUAGUAAAUUCAGAUUUAAAUAUGAUUAAUUUGACCAUAUUUAUGAAAAUCCUAAUAGCGAGAAUUUUGUACGUACUUAAUAUAUUUUGAUUUCAUAAUAAUGUUCUUGUAAGAAAUGAAACAGAGAAAUAAUAAUAAUAAUACCGAGUAAGAUCUAACUUUUCUAUAAAGUUUCUCGAAAUAAAGAUCAUGAAAAAACUAGUCAGCAAUUUGUACUUGACACAAAACUUCAUUGUAUCUUAUAUAUAGAAGUUCGGAAAGAAUAAGUAAGUGAAUAGAAUCCGUGAUCGAAAAAGAUAAAGGAAUGAUUUUCAAUACAUUUUAAGAUAGACUUUUGCUUUGAUAAAGAAUCUAUCGCCUCCGACGGAGUAUCUUUGUGCUCCAAUUGGGGAUCUUUCAGGUUUGAAAGAGGACCUUUCAAGUUUGAUGCUGGCUGAAAAAUACUGUAGCAACUCCUGUAACCAUUUGCAGCAUAAAAGAGGUAGAAAAGAAGAAUUGAGAAGAGAAGAAAGCGAAAGAAGAAGAAAGAAUCCACAUAUAUAGAGUAGGACAUGCCAUAAGAAAGAGCGGAUGGAUCUAAAUAAAAUUUUCAUUAAUUAAUUAAGACUCUCUUACCAUAUAAAUUUUGUCCCUAUUUAUAUUGAAAAACUAUUGAUCGUAAUCAUAAUCAAAUUCCAACAUUUUAGAAGCUUUUUAAUAUAAGUAAAUUUAUCUCUAAAAAAAAUAUAAAAAAAAUUUACCUCUAAUUAAAACUUCCAAUAUCUCUAAUUUUUGAGGAUUUAUUCUAUAUAAAACAAAUCUUUAAAUCUGAAAAACAUCUCCAAAACAAAUUAAUAAAAAUAAAAACUUCAAAUUUUGACAAAAUAAUUUUUAAAAUCAUAGUUAUUUCCUUGGCUGCAUCACUUUCGCUUAGAUAAGGUACUAUGUAUAGAAACAUCUGAAACUUGUAUUUAAUCCUAAUAUUAGAGAAAAUAAGAAAGCACGAAGUAUGAAAAGGAAUAGUUAUCAUGAGAUCAAUUUUCUUGUGCGUAUGGACGUUGAAUUCUGGUUGGAUGCAAUAAAUAAACGGGUUAAUUUAACAUAGUUAUCCUCUCUUGAAAAAGUUAACUAUAUAUGUCAUUUAUUUUUUAAAUGAAUAAAGCGGAUAGUGUGCUAUCUUUUUUUUUAAAAAAAAAAACUAUAUAUAUCAGGAAUAUUGCAAAAAUUUUUUUUUUUUUGAGAAAAAGGUAGCAAGCUACCUGCUUCAUUCAUAAAGUAAAAUGAACUAAGCAUACAGGUGGAAGCAGCUAGGGCCUCCUAGAGAAACCGAAAAGAAAUCAACGAAAAGAAAAACAAAAGCCCAAAAAAAACAUGAAAACGGAAACAAGAGCAUGUGGUUAGAGCAGGAGACGUCGAGAAUCACGUAACAUCAGUCCAAUCCUUUAACAAAGACUCAACGCGAACCGCGGCCCGGUUUGCGUUGGGAGGCAUAUCACGAAAGAUAGUAUUAUUGCGUUCAGUCCAAACAACCCACCAGAUCGCCGCCAGUCGGGUUAAUCUCUUCGCAGCAGACACAGCAUUGAGGUUACAAGAUAUCUCAUUCCAUAAGCACCGGACAUCCCCCGAGUGUACAACGGUCAGCUCAUUCCCUCCCUCAAUCCAAAAAAGGUAUCUGACGAAGACACAAUCAGAGAAAAGGUGAUCACAAUUUUCUAGGUAGACCGCGCAAAAAAUGCACUGUUGAUCCACAGGGCAUCCUCGGGUGAUCAAUCUAUCCACAGUGGGUAAUCUCUUGCGAAGUAAAAUCCAGAUGAAGAUUUUAACUUUGCCCGGAAUUUUUAACCUCCAAAGAUGAGCGUACGUGGGGUCUCUCUGGAAUAUUGCAAAAAUUUUAAACAUAUAAUUCUUGCUGAUAAAAGCCAGCUACUGCAUCUUGUCUGAUUUUUUUUAAAAAAAAAACCAAAAAAAAGCCAAAAAAGAUCGAAAAAGCUUUUGUUGAAUAAUGACUGAAUGUAUACUCAUGGUUUAGUUAUUUGUAAACUUAUAAAUACAAGUUGAUGAUCCUGAGUGUAUCUAACUCUUUUUUCUCCCUCAUUUUGAGAAUAAAAACGUGGUACGUAUAGAUGCUACAUAUAUUUAUGUAAAUGUGUAUGCCUGUAUGUGUAUAUGUGUUAAUACAUGUACGGACGAUGUUUGUUAGUGUAUAUAGUAUUUGAUUUCUAUUUCACAAAAACAGAUUAAUUACUCUACUAAGGUUACUCGAGCUGCACAAUUCUUAAGCAAUCAUUCAUGCGUGAUCACAAAUUUUUGGUUCGUAUUUGUAAGUAGAAUGAGAGUGAGUUCACGUUGAGCCAAAAACGAGUCGACAAGUUUACACGUUCAUUUGUCAUGAGCCCAUGACCCACUGUGCGUCAGCAACUUUAAGCUAACGAACCUCUAUAGAAAAAUUUCCCACGUACGAAACGGUCACAUAUUACACCCUCAAAGCAGAGAUCUGAGAUGUCACCCAAUAAAUAUCUAUGUGAGGAUCAUAUUAUGGUGGGGAUAAAGGUCGGAUUUUGAUGUCGAAAUAGGAUAUUAAAUAAUAACUUAUUUCGGCAUGAAAUUUUUUUUUUUUUUUGAUUGUUAAUUAGAUGUUCGAUUUUUUACUUUUUGAAAAAUUUUGAUACUCAUAAUUUGAUAUGAUAGUACAUUUUACUUACAGAGUAGUUAUUUUAUUUCCAAAAUAUGGUUUUGCAGUCGAAUUGUUGGAACAAAUGCCGCACAGAAAUUUAAUUGUGAUUGAAUCUAACUAAUUUGUAAUAAAGAUAAAUAUAUCAACUUACAGAUGACGCAAAUAUUUCAAUAAAGAUUUGAUCGAUCCGGAAGCGUGCGAGGCACUGCCCUAAGGCGUAUUUCCGUCCUUACGUGCGGGAUUAAUCGAAAAUAACACCCUAAGGUACGACCGGAAUUCUCCUACGAGCACGAUCGUGAAGAAGGUUGACGGAAACUCUUUCAACACCUGAUGAUAAAAGAUCAAAUAAAUUAAAAUUAAAAGAAGAAAACUUCCUCUCUCUGUCGUGUUCACAUAUCCACAUGAACAAUAUGCGAAGCAUACUAAUAUAGAGGGGAUCGAAUAGAAUGUACGUAACCGUAGAAUCCAACCAGCAUUUAAUCCUAAUUAAUUACACGCAGCUAAUUAGAAAAUUUCAAAACCGCCCUAGAAUUCAUGCGCGACUAGAAGUCAGCGCAUGGAGCGCGUACGUGCGCAACGUCCGCGCCCGGAGCGGACGUCCGUUUUAAAGGACGUUAACAAUAAAAAUAAAUUAGGAUUAAUAAGUAAAAAUAGAGGAUUUUGAAUUUUUCUCCAACACGAAUAUGAUACUUGUUUUGGACAUUUGAUAACUAAUAAAAUAGAUAACAUUCAGGCACGUUUAUGACCCAAAAAAAUUAUGUGAGGCUCAUGAUUAAUAUCAAGUGAAUCAUACGACAUAUACGAUAGAUGUGAGAAUUAUUAUUAUAUUUUUUCAGAUCAAAAAAGUCUUUUCUAUCUCUGUCGAGGACAAAUAUUAGAAUUGAAUCUGUAGCUUUUUAGAACGGAGGAAACUUAGUACUAGCUAGCUAGUUCUGGUAACAUGCUAUCCAAAAUAUCGAUAAAAAGUCGUAGCAGUUCCUGUAAAGGGACGACUCGCAUGCGGAAUGUGUAGAGGCCAUCAUUUUUGCUGCAGCGUACGUAUACGUACGUACGUACGUACGAAGAAGAAGAAGGUGGUGGUGGUGGUGGUGGUGGUGGGGUUGGAGGGUGGUGACACAACAAAGUUAAUUAAUUUAGAGGUGAUGUGGAGAGAGUCAAUAUUCAAAAGCACGAGGGGGAGGAGGGAGGAGGGAGGAGGGAGGGGCCGGGGUGGGGGUUGAAUACUGAACAGAUGGGGCUGUCGGGGACGGUGUGGACACCGAGUCAAAAAGAGGGGAAUCGGUCAGACCCCAUCCCGCCCCCACGUCCGGACUCGACCCGACCCAUCCCGACCCUGAGACCUCAUCCCCGUGAUUCCCGCACAGCCACUCGUUUCCGAACCAAUGGCCAUGCGCCCGCGCCCACCGACCGUCCCUAGAGCAAGUGGCAAAGGACUUGACGCCGAGACCCAAGUUCGAAUCCCAGUUGAUUCACAUUUCCAGCUAAGUUUAUUUUUAAAUGAAAUAAACGAAGCGGGUAGCGUGCUAUCUAUCUCUCUAAAANCGAAUUAAGUUUUAAAUUCAUCUAUCACACCGAUCGUUCCUAGAGCAAGUAACAAAGGGCUUGGUGGUUGGUACCAGAGACCCAAGUUCAAAUCCUAGUUGAUUCACAUUUCUAGUUAAGUUUAUUUCUAAAUGAAAUAAACAAAGCGAGUAGCGUGCUAACUAUCUUUCAAAAAAAAAAAAUCAUCUAUCACAUCAUGAUUAAUAAAAAAUUAUUUUUAUUAUAGUUUUCUCUCAAUAGAAAAAUAUGAUUAAUUUGCCACUAAUGAUAUGGUAUCAAUGUGACACAGGAGACUUCCUUGUUCCUCUGCGAGCCGUGCGAUAUAUGAAUCGACCAAAAUUACCCCCCAUGAUUCUUUUGAAAAAAAAAAAAAAAAUAGUACUGCUGGCCCCCAUUGGUGUUGUUGAAUGGGUCACAUUAAUCAUUUGCUGAGAGUUAUAAUGGCCCAACAACUAGACGAAGAGUUAUAAUUCUGUAAUUUCAUUAUUUAAAAGGUUCAUAUUUCUUUAUUUGUUUUGUUAUACUUUUUUCGAUACUAAAAUUUUUAAAAAGAUUGUUUAAAUUUUGGACGGAGUUGUGAUUCUACAACUCUCUUUUAGGUUGUAGACUCUGUAAUUUCUCAAAAUAUUAUAGUUUCAGAAUAGUGCAUAUAAUUAGAAAAUUUUUUAUUAAUUAAAGCGAUGAAAAGUCCGCAUCAUCUAUCCUUAUUCGUAUAUAUAAAUGUUAAAGCAACCUCUUCAAUCAUAAGGAUGUUAUGGCAUUACAUGCACGUAGCUGUGCUGUGUGGGUGUAGUAGUUUAACAUUAUCUUGUAUUGUAAUGGGUGCUUUUUUAAUAUACACUCUGCUAGUAAUGAGUAACAAAAUUAUUGCCCAAGUCGGGCACAUCUAUUGCAACUUUAGUACAAAAAUAUUCUUCUUUCGCUCUUAUACAUAGAUUACACUUGCAAAAGUGGGUGUAAUCGGUUUGACUACUUAUUUCAUUUCAAAAGCGGUUUUUGCUUAUAUAUUUUUUACUGCUAUUCAAAGUUUUUAAAUAUAUCUCUCAUUUUUAAAGUACCCUUCGAAAAUUCCAAUCCCAUUUGUGAACCCUAGAAGGCAAAGGGGACAUUUGAAGGAUUUUUUUUUAAAAAAAUUAAUAAAGAUAUUUUGGUUAACCAAAGAUAAAUUAGUUAUUUUUGAAGUUUUAGAAGAUAUAUUAGAUAUUGUCCCUAUUUCAAAUUACUUACUACCGAAUUAAAAAAAUUAUAAUUUUGAUUUCCAGUUACAAUUUUGGGAUCGAACUGGGACUGCCUUACAUUUUACUCGAGUCUUUUUCCUGCUGAUAUGCCGUACAGCCCAUUAGGGCCCAAUGAGACCCGAACUUUUACAGCCCAGAGCCCACAUAGUGGGGCCCAUUGGGGCCUGUACCUGGGCUACAUUACCAGAUGGCUUUUUGCAUCGGACCGGGCCCAGCCCUCAAUUCUACAAGUAGAGAAUAAUACCUACUCUACUUUUAUACUGAAACAUCCAGAGGGUACAAAGCACCACAAACACAGCUCCGUUACCGUUAAGAUGGAAGCGAAAAUUAGAGACACUACCGCCUAGUUAGAACAUUGGACUUAGCAACGUAGAAGUUAGUGAAAUUUUCAAUUAAUCAAUUUUGUUACUGGUUGACUAUGAAGAGUAAAACAAUGCAAAGAUUGUGCCCAAGGUCCUUAAAUCAACACAAGCGAUCACUCCUUUAACCUGCCACACAAAAAAUCAGACAUUUUUUCAGCGUUAGUUAGAGAAUACAAUCAACUGUUGCUGUCACAACAAGCUGUAACUUACCUAUUUAUUAGCGUUGGAUCGAAGAGUUUUGCCGCAACUUAAUAAGCAGUCGGUUGAAAGAAUUGGAGAUGAAUCAGAAAGCAAACAGAGCCUCUUCGUUUUUGUUUUGCUUUUUCUUUCCCGAAGAUUACUGGGGAGUGCCCUGUAAAGAGCUGCUUCUGUCACAAGAUGAGCUUUGUUUUAUAGCAGUCUAAUCAGCUCAGUAGAUGAAGAUUAAGUGAAUGAAAACUUGAGAAACCACUUUUAAAGUCCUUGCACAAAAUUUGAUCGGUCGUUGAGUGCUCUACAUUUUAUCUGGAGGAUCCUCCACUAUCUGGACGCCAGAAACCCUUUUUACCAACAAGAAAUUGCCGUUUAGUGGUGGUCACAUAGUGAAGAGAUCGUAAUACAGGGCAUAUCUUCUUUAUCGUUUCCACUUUGUCUUGCAGUAAGACCCAUCCACCUGGCCUUAGUAUCCUGUCCAUCUCAGCCACUACUUCAAUGAUGUCGCAUCUGAAAAGAGAAGGAAAAUAUCACACUCACAGGGAGUUUCCUCUUGCCUAACCAAAUGAGAAAAAAGAGAAGACGGUAAGCUUCAAAAACAUACUAUUAUAGGGUUGAGUAUCUUUACCUUUUCAUAAGAUUUUCCAGAAGAUAACUCGAAUGAAGUAGAUCGUACGUCCGAGGGUAUGUGUUAAAAGCUUCACACCAGUCAUGAUAUGACCCAAUCAACCCUCUGUUAUAAAUAAUUGGUAAAGUAUCUGGCUCGCUAAUUGGUACCACAUUCAUCACCCAGAGAGGUUGAUCCAUCAGUGCUGCCGCAAAUCUGUUUAUUUUUAUUUAGAUGAUCAGUAACUUCUUCCUAUCAAUAAUAGAAAUAGGGCUUAAACGGAAGUUUGUGAAGUAAUUUGGAUGCUUUCACACGAAUUAGCCAUGCAGAAAGCAGCAGGGGAAAGGAGAAAAAAGAUGCUUUAAUAAAAUUUGUGCUGUGAGCAAUGGAAACCAUGUACAGCAUACAAGUCUUUAGCUAAGAACAAAAGGCAAAAUUUCUUUAAUUGAAUGCCAACAGGUAAUUGAAUAUAUUUUUCUUAAAUGAAACUUCAUAGUAACCUACAGAACAGGUUUAGAGAAAUUUAAGAAUAUUGCCUUACCCUCCAAAUCUAGCAUUCAUGUCCAUGACAUUACGAAUGCUUGACCAGUUAAUUGCAAGAUCACUCCAAUAUACUUCUGAAACAAGUGAUUUCCAGUGCUUCGUAUCAGCAUAAAACUUUUCUGCAGAUUGAAUUCCGUUUGGCUCUUCAUGUUGACUUGAAUAAAAUGUAUUAAGUCUUUCAGGCCAAGGAGGCGGCCAAAUAUGUUCUUGAUCAGAGUUGGUAAUUGGGAGUUGAGAAAUACAACUAUCAAGUGGGGCAUACCUGCAGGUGCAAAAUAGGAAUAAGUAUAAUCUCAGAACUAAUCAAAUAAGUAUAAGAUCAGCACCAAGUAUGGAUUAUUAGCAGUGAUAUCAAAAAGAAUGGAUGGAGGAGUACCAUGAUACAUUUGUUCGAUCAUUCUGAGCACAUAAAGGUGGAUUAAUGGUUUUUCUCUGAAUGUAGCAGGAAUUCGAGAGAGGUUUUUGAUAUAUUACAAUACCAAUUCCAGAUUCAUCCUCAGAUUUCACCAGUGUCUUCCAGCAGAUGGAGUUUGUCAAUGCCACCAUAGCUGCAGGAAAGAGAACAAUGAUCUCCUUUUAGGUCAAACUUGUUUAAAUUCUAAAGACUAAUCAAACCUGUCAGGUAAAAAACGUAGUUUUAAUAUGACAAUAGUCCUCCCAAUUGUCUACUUCCACUGGAUAGUGGAUAAAUUUACUCGACAAGCAAAACGUGAGCACUCAUGAGGAUUUGUUUUCCUUUUUCUGCUUAACAAGAAAGCGGAAAGACCUUAAGAGCAAAAAUAUUUCUUUAUUUGGUAAUUGAAAAAAUAAGUUGGAGGAAAACAUGUAGCAGAUAGUUAGACAAGAUUUAUGAAAAACAUGGCGGUAUUUAACAUAUACAAAUGAAAAUGUUACCAUUCCAGACGGUUUCAUCUCUUUCAUUAUGACGAUAUACAGGUGUUGCAGACCACACAAAAAAACCUCCAGGCCUGAGAAUCCUAUUGAGCUCCAAUAAUGGCCGUCCACCUAGAAAAGAAAAAGAAAAAAAAAAAAAUCUAAUGUUUGUUUCUUCCAUUAAAAGAGAAAAAAGAAAAACAACUCUACUAUAUUUAUCGAAGAUUUUGGCCCAUGAUUAACAUAUAUGUAUGUAUGAUACCAUUUGCAUCCCAAUGGACCCUACAUCUCGCACAGUGAAUCAGAUCAAACACGUUAUCAGGGAAAGCAAGCCUUUGGGUCCCAAUCACUGAUAGGAAAGCCGGAAUUCCACGUUCCAGUGCAAAUUGUAUCUGAGCCUCAUGCUCAUCCUUUGGGGCAAAUGACAUAGUAAGGACAUUCCUAUCCAGAAGGUAUCCACCAAGACUUGCCACACCACAACCAACAUCAAGUAUAACUCUUGUGUGUCUUCCCCACUCAAUACUUGGCAGAAUCUAGAAAAUUAAGAAAAAGACAGUAUGAAAAGAAUAUGUAAUAGAUCUGCAUAUUAUUUCGUAACGUAUGAGAACAUGGUCGCUGGAACAAUAGAGAUUUCUUCUUAUGACAUGAUUUACACCAACAUUUGUAACGUAAAGGGUUUUUCAUACAUCAUAAAUCACCAAAUGGGUAUUCAAUUUUUAAGUUCCAGCACAAUAUACCCAGAAGAAACCAGCAGGGGACAAUUUAAAAAAUGGAAGAGAGAGAAAAAAAAUCUUCCUAGCAUGUUAGUGCAGUCAGCUAAAUAAAAGCAUUAAUAAUAUGGAAAAGACAGGAAUGCGCUACAUUUGUUACUUCGGAAAAGUAUAGCACCAUGUGGUAUAUAUGAACUUUUCUAUUUUGAAAAGCUUGCUAGGGUUGAACCCUAAGCAUUAUUUGAGUGUGUAUAACUAGAUUUCAUAUUUCAAAACAAUCUUCUCGCAAUUUCAGCUACCAAUAAUAUUCUCAUGGUCUGGAUAAUUAUCAUCUACCCGUUCAAUGAACUGAAUGUAGCGUGUUACUCCCUGCUUGAAUUGAGUUCCACCUCCAGGAAAUUCAAGAUAGUCUCCCGAUCUCCGAACCCAGUUUUGAUCCUUCUUAUACUCAACUAGUUUAGGGUGAGGAACAUUGCCAUACCAUAUCUGGAGAAAGAAUUAGAAUGGGACAUUUAAAAAAAAAUAAAAAAGUUCUAUAAAGCCAGAUCUAAAUUAUUAAUAAUCCAAGAAAAUAUAAGCAAGCACUAGGAACGCCAAGUCCCCAUCUUCAAAAUUUCUAACUGAGAGAUGAGCAUAACUAUUUUCAUUAGAAGAACAAGUUAAUUGUUGACACAAGCCCAAAACAUUGAGAAAAAAGGAAUUAUGUAAAGUGUGAUCUGCAAAUACCUUGCUAGUUCAUCUCAACUAAAUACUGAGCUAAGAAGCAAAUCAUUGAGAGCAAGGAAGUGUACUGUAUCAUUUAUAUGUUACAGUCAGAUGUUUUACGCGAACUUAAAACCUAUGAAACUGACAGUGCAAGGAAAUAACAAAACCUAAUAUAUUUCAGGGCAAUGUUACAUGUUAAUACACGGAAAUCCAGGAAAAGCAAUGCCGAAAGAACUUGAACCCACAUUUUGCAAGAUUAUCUCGGAUAUUUUAUACGACGAACUCUGUCUUGCAUCAGCCAUUUCAUGUGCUUAAUUGGUGUAUAGUGCUGAAUCUGUAAAAUCUCCACAACAUUAAACUUUUCUUUUGCUCUGCUAUGCUUUACACUCAACUUUAGAUGGCUGGUUUAAAAACAACAAAUCUGUGAAUUUGGACUCACGAGUCGAUGGGCAAACUGUGUUGGAGGAUCGGGGGGGUGAACAGGGCUUUGAGCCUCAAAUCACACUAUGUAAUGUGUGCUUAUACUCCAUCUUGAUUGCUUGUUUUUGUUACAGGUGCUCUACCUAUUGGUUUCCCCGUUCAUCUUCCUUAGUGCCUAAAUACAUUCAUAAAGCACUCUCAUUCAUUUUCUGGAAAAAGGUAAUCAUACAAACAAUCUCGCUCUGUACGCUCUCUUUCCCAGUCAAAAAUCUUUCCUUUGCGAUGUUUCAUUAGAUUGUGUUUUGCAGUUUUCACUUCUUUCUUUUUUUCCUCUGCUUUCCAAAAUUUUGAAUUACAGACGUUCAGUGAACUAAUUCUUAGCUCAUACGUGUUAGCUCUACAUUCCGUGAGAAGAAACAUGAACAUUGCAAUCAAGCAUAGCAAUCAGAUUACUAAUCGCGGAGAAUUACUAGCUCCCUUACCGAAGAAUCAUCCUCACCAUGUCUCUGCUCCGCGGCCACGGCACCGGCACCCGGUACCCCCGCGGCAGUGGGACGAGGCACCGCGGCCCCGGCCGCGGGCAAUGCCGCUCCCGGUGCUCCAUGUGGCGCCUCGACCUCAGCUCCUUGAUCGCCCUCACGUUGUCCAAGCAGGGAAUGUAAUCCGCCGCCUCCACCCCCUUCCCCACCCUACAGAUCUCCCACCUGAACUCGAACUCCUCAUCUCCCUCGCCUUGUAGCCUCCCAUCGCCGGAGGAUUCGGCGGGGCUAGGGUUAGAGUUCUGGAUCGUCGUCGUCGUCGUCGUCGGAGAAGGAGGAGGCGAUCGAGGAGGGGGGAAAGGGGGCGGAGGAGUGCGUUGGCGAUCGGAGAAGAAGGGGAUGGGGACGCUGGGGAGGGAGAGGAGGAGAAGGGAGGAGAGGAGGAAGAGGGAGAGGAUGAGGAGGAGCGAGUGCUUCCUCUCGGAGAGGAAAGCGAGGAUCGACGCCAUGAGUGGAAGGGAGGGAGGAGACUAGGGGAGUAUUUCUGUUGGGGGAGUUGUUUGGAUGGAGAAAUUAAAGUGGGGAGGAUGACGCCACUGUCACGAAGAGGUGUGGCAACUGGCAAGUGAAUGCAGUAAAAAUUUUAAAAAAUAUUUAUUUAUAUAAAUUAAAAGAAUAAAAAAAAAAUCGGGAGAUUUGCAUGUAUGCGGAUGCACGAGGAACGGAGAUGAUUGCAGGCACGUGGCGUCAGCCGGGUGAAGGAGAAACGUGGGAAUGUUUGCGGAUUAAUAAAUAGCCACGAUUGUUGUCCGGACAGGCGCGUAAACAAUCCUAUGCGGGUGCGGGGUUAAAAAUGUAGAAAAAACUUCAAAUAAUACCCAGCAGUUUCAUAUUUUCUUAUUUUAGUAUUAUGUAAUUUAAAAUGUAUCGCUUUUAUGUCCUAUGAUUUUAUUUUUCUCUUUUUGUAAUCUCCUCUACUAAUUUUUUUUCGUUAAAUCAGGCUGACAAACUGUACUGAUAUAAUUACUCUCAAAGAUCUCCUGAAAAGCACUAAUAUGUGAGCGCGAAUAUGUACAUGCAGAUCGACCCGCGUUGAUAAAUCACAGAUCAGCAGAUAUAUAGGAAAUAUGCAUCUGUAGUACCUAAAACUUAUUCUUUCCUUUGCUGUAGUUUAUUAACUAAAAUAUCAGUUAUUACUUCAGUACUGGCUCUCUCUAAUAACUUCAGUACUGGCUCUCUCUCUCUCUCUCUCUCUCUCUCUCAUAAUUGUAGAAAACAGGCAAGAAGAUAAUUUGAAUUAAAAAGGAAAAUCCUUUAGUUAAUUGCUCACAAACAGAACCAAUCACACAUCCCAAUCUCACCGUAAUGCAAGUAAAUCAGAUGAUUCCAAUCAACUUAAUCUAAGAUGAAUCCAUUUCUGCAGCAACUACACAACAAACCAACAAGUCUACAAACUAAAUACAUAAAUAAAGCCAUCGUUUUGAGAGCCACAAGCUAAAGACAAAGGGGGGAACUCACUAGUUCUCAAAAUACAACAAUGAGUUUGAAUCAUUUUAACUGCCUAUUGUAUGUGUCAACUGCAAUAGAAGAUAACAAAGAAAAACAAAUGAUCCACUUUCUGAGGUUGACUACAUUAUUCAUUCUUUUCCUAUGAUACAAAAAGAAUCUCCAGUAAGCUGCAGGACUCAACAGAAAAGCCAGACACCACAAUGUACACCUGAUCCAAUUCUGUCAUAUCUAGAGUUGAUAAAUCUGUCAAUUUUUCUCUUCUAUAUGGAAUUAGUGUUUCUAUGACUUCAUCUUUCCCAAGCAUUAUGUUUUGGGUGUAAUGGAAGUUCGAAAUCACAGCAACAGCAAAACCCACAUAACAAAUGCAAUAGCCAGUUUGCGUGGAUUCUUCUGAAGAGAAGGGACAAAAAAAAAAAGAUUUGACAAUAAGAGGAGGACAGAAGGGAAUGGAAUGAGUAAAAAGCCUCAUCAGAAUUUUUAUGGAUAUGAAGAGACGAGACGAUAAAAAUGGACUAAUAAAAUGCAAGUAAAAGAGGAAUGCAUUUAACAACUUAGAUUAUAAAAAUUGCAAUUUUCGUAAGUCAAUCGUUGUUUGAUAUGGUACUUCCAACAAGAAGAAAAAAAACUAUUUAUUCUCAGUCCUAGUGUAUGUUCCUUCUAGGGUCCUUGAAAGAAAAGACUGAAUCCUCCAAAAUUUUCAGAACAGCAUAGAGAGUAUAAGCAAAAAGGCACCUUACUUUUUCUCUCUUUCCUAAACACAACAAUAUUUAAAAAGUGUAGAAAAUUGGGCAUUCUUGACCAACCAAAUCAUGUUUGCAUGGGCCAGAAAUCUCUUUUUAUAAGAGACCAAGAUAUCGAUUGUUAGUGCUACCAAUUUCAGGAAUUCGCUAUAGAUUUCGAAUCAUAAGUCCCACAGCCCUACCAAACCAAAUGGAACCAAACCAAAUGGAAAUUCAGGUUGAACAACAAGGAUGAAAAUUUAAGUAAACUUAUUCCUCUUCUUUUUACUCUUUCUAGCUGCAAAUGAGCUGAUUGUCUCACUAGGAAGGCACACCUGAUCUCCUCUACUGGCUUUCAUCUCUUGGGAAAUUGAUUGCCUAUGUCCUUUGCAAGCCUUGGGAAGUUUACCAUCAUAAGCUCCACAGAUAUGAGCCUCAAAAUUCAUAUAAUCCUGCAAUUUAAAGGUACACAAUCCAUCACGUAAAUUGAAGGUAUAUACAUUUUAGAAUGAGUAAUAAAAGUAAUUAAGCUGACUAGUUGGAAUGAGAUUUCAGAUGAUAGAUUGGCCCAACAAAGUGUUUGCUUCGGUUCAGUUCUUAAUAGCUAUAUCUUAGUUAAAGCUACAUAGAUUCAGAUCCAAGGUCCAUUUUCUAGGCUUAUAAUGAAAAGAAAUAGUUAGAACAUCAUUCAUGCCAUGAAUAUAAUCGGGGGAUCAGUUAGCACUUUGUCUUGGCAAUUUAGUCCCUACAGAUAAGAUGAAAUUUGAAAGAACGAUAAGUAACAAGCCUUGUUGAAUCAAGAAGCCAUAGUUGUGAUCAUUAUGCAUUUUCCUGCAGUUUGUUGCCGUAUGAACUUUUAGGAGCAUAAUGAAAUAACGAAAAAAGAAAGAAGCAACAUAAACUAACAGAUCAAUACAACUGCGCAGAAUUGCUUCAUGCAUUCUCCAGAAAUUGUACAUUAACAAACAGAAGCAAAUUGAAGAUUGAUUAGAAAAUAACAAUCAUCUACCAUGCCUAAAAUCAUGAAAAAGUGGACAAAUAACUUUUUUGCUAAUGAAAAUUAUGGUUUUGUUGUAACUUAUAAAAGAAAAGUAAAUAACUUAGGAUUGAGUUAACUCUAGUAGUUGAGGCAUGACUAUAUCAACUGGGGAGGCAAAUUGAUAACAGUAUGUUGAUCAGCAUAGACAUACCUCAAAAGGCUUAGAAAGGAUAUGAGGAAAACAGGACACACAGGAAUGAAAUAUAAAAGAAGGUUAAGCGUAAGCUUGUAGAAUAUGAAACUAACCUCAUAGAGAGGCUUCCCAUCAACAACCACCCAAGGAACAUACUGAUGAGGGGGGCGAAGAGCAUCUGUCUCUGCUGCAUACUGUAGUUCAAGCUGCAUUUGUAUCAGAUUAAGAGAAGUUCAUAAGCACCUGUAAGUAUAAUCUCAUUGUAUUCUCUCUCGGAAAUAUAUAUACACACAUAUAUGUGUAGAUGAAAGCUUGGUCAACUAAGAUUGGAUCAACCACAAUGAUUUCUAGAAUAAAAGCAAUAACCAUUUGAAAAUUAACAAUACUUAGGAACUAACCCCUACAGAUUUCUCCAAGAAAAAAAAUAAGGGGUGAAAUACAAAUAAGUUGGUUAUGGUAAAUCUAAUACAAAUAUUAACAUGCAAAAGUUCAGAAAGAAAAAUAAGUGAGAAGAGUGAUGUAUAGACAACCAUCCUAACAUAUUUCUCUUUAAUGAAACCUUCUAGAUGAGAUUCAUUCGAAGUUAACUUCAAAAGGGAGAUUCAUUCGCAAUUUAUUGUGUUGAACAAACCUGCCACCCAUAUCCACUAUUAUAGCAAUCUACAACCGCUUCCGAACUCAGGCCAGCUACCUGGAAGCAAGAUUGCCACUCGUUUUCUUUCUGUCCCAGAAUUAAAUUUUCAACACAGUGAAUGAAGCGGAAGUGCUCUUGCUGCAUCAGAAUUCAAGAAAAUUAACAUAAAAAUAAUCUUACAAGGUAAUAUGUUUUGACGACAAUCUCUGCAUGAGUCUGAAAAUGCACAACGCGUACAUUUCCCAAGAAAAACAGUUUCUAUGUAUAAUGCAGCACAGCAUUCAAUAAAGAUAAAUGCACUGACAGCCUAAACAGACCCCCAAAACUCCUAAAUUUUGAAAUUCACCCGUUUUGUGUGACAAAAAGUUCCACACCGGAAAGGCGACCACCGACAUAUUGUUUCGUCACAACAAGACAUUGGUAUAUAACUGUAAUUCUUUGUACAUUACCACAUCAGGCCACUCUUUGAUUGCGCAUGCUUCGAUAACAUUCAGAAGGCACUCGUUCGCACCAUGCUGCAGGAUGAAACAAGAAUGGUUAAAAGAAAAUCAUUUUCUAGGCGUCUGGAUCAUAAAAAAUAAUUUAAUACAAAGGUUAUGAAAAAUCAACCUACCUCUUCAUUCAAGACACACCAAUCUCACUGCAAAAACCCCAUAAAUAUAUAAAUGCUGCUGCAGGUCGCAGGCAGUAAAUUGACAUGUGCUUGUUUCCAGUAAUUAAUGAAUUUUUUAGGGUCAAUAGCAUACGUCUCCCUGCGAAGUAUGGAAAUGACACACUUGUCCCUCAAUGUUGUUUGUCAAGAAGUAUAUCCCUCUGAAUUUCAAAAGUUUACAACUUAUUCCUACCAACUGACUACUGUUAAUUAACUGGCACUCUCUCACUGUUAGGACCUUUACGCUCUUACGAAUAUACAUUCUUUUCAGAUUUUUAAGGUUCAAAUAGAAUGAAAAGAGUGAUGGAACAAAGAAGCUAGAGAUUUUUAAAAAAAAAUGAUGGUAAAAGUAUUUUAUAAGAUCUUUUUUGGGGCCAAAAUGGUAAUUUUCAGAAAAUUCAAUUUUAGACGAUCAAUGACACACAGAAGAAUAAAUGUGCAAACUACUAAAAUUUAUGAGGGACAAAUACACAAUUUCACUACUUUGAAGAGACAAGCGUGCAUUUUUUUUCCGAUCAAUUCCACCAUCUCCUAUAUUAACAGCGAAUAUUGCAAUCGAGAAUCUUACAGAGGCAUUUCGACAAAAACAUGGUGGGAACAUUCCGAAGGGAGGAAUUGGGAGUGAGGACCUGGCAAAUGAAGGAGCCGUCGGAGGAAACCCUCGCGUUGCCGUAAGGGACGAGAUCGAGGUCGACGAUGGAGACGAGCCCGUUGCUGAAGAUGCGAGAGAGGUGGUUCACAAUGAAAUUGGAGCAGUAAGGGCACAGAGUCUCGUAGUAGAGGGACAAGGAGACCCUCUUAGUGGCCGAUGCAUGGGAGGGAGAGAGGGAGAGGAGAGAGAGGAGUGAAAUGGCGAAGAGGAGAUGAAGAGACGCCAUGGGAAGGGUAGGGAGAGAGAGAGAGAGAGAGAGAGAGAGAGAGAGAGAGAGGUUGUGUUGAGUUGAGGAGAGAUCGCUUCCUCUGUAGGUGAUUCCUCCGAGGGGGCGGGUGGGGUGCAAAAAGGAAAGGGAAAAGCGGGAGAAGAUGCUACAGGGUGGUGGUUAUGAAAAAUGAGCUAUAUUUAAAAAAAAAAAAAGGUUAAUUGCAUAUAAGUCCCUACAAACAUAGUAAAUUAUAAAUACAUUUCUACAAAGUUUAAUUUUUAUAAAUUAUUUCUGCAAAAAUCCUAAUAUUUUCAGAUAUAUCUUUGCCAUUAAAAUCUGUUAGAAAAGUUUAGUUAACCAUAGGUUACAUACUUUACUCUAGUUGACAUUUUUAUUCCUCUUAUAUUAUACUGUUAUAAUUUUUGGAGGGAUAUAUUUGUGAUGAGAAAAUUAAAAUAUAAACGGUUUUCUAAUGAUUCUCUAACGAUAACUAAUCAGAGGAAUAUAUUUAAAAAUAUUAGAACUUUCAUAUAAAUCACUUAUGAAAGUUGAACUUUACAGCAAUACAUUUGUAAUUCACUAUGUAUGUGGAAACCAAUAUGCAAUUAAUUCUAAUAAAAUGGGGGGUAAGUUGCAAAUUUGGUCCCAGAUGUUUCAAUAUUAGCAGUUUAGGCCCUUUAGAAAGAUAAAUUGCAAUUGGGUUCUUCAACCUGUGGGCAUAGUUUCAGCUGUGUGUUCUACCCCAGGGAUGUCAACGGGUCGGAAUAGAUUUUCAAAAAUAUAAAGCCGAAGCCGACUAAUAACCAAAAUUCAAAUUCGAAUUCGAAUAUGAUAGAUUUUAAAAAAUUGUAUCUAAAUCUGAAUCCGAUUAAAAAUACAAAAUUUGAACCCAAGUCCGAACCCAAAAAUCUGAACCCCAAUUAUUAUAGUUUAUCGCAAUAAAUUUUUUGUUAAUUCCUUAGUAAAAUAGCGAGAAAGAGAGCCACGAAAUCGCAACCUCUUUUAGCCAAUUAUUUAGUGCCUAUUUGGCCCCCUUAACUGCUUUAUUUUCUAAACCAACUACUAAAUUUAAAGCCCGCGUAUUUUCAAAAAAAAAAAAAAAAAUUAAACAGCAUUUUUUUUUUUAACUUUCAUACUAAACAGCUCAUCAAUUUAUUUAGGAUAAACUUCAAAUGACAUAUUUAUAUAGUUUCGUACUUUCUUAUUUUAAUACCAUGUAGUUUAAAAUAUAUCAAUUUAGUAUCCUAUGAUUUCAUUUUUUUUCUUUUUAUCAGCCCUUUUGUUAACAUUUCGUUAAAUUACAUAUAAAAAAUUUCAGAUAUCCUACCUAAAUUUAUCGAAUAUUUAUUUUAGCACCUUUUAGUUUUAACUUUGUUAUUGAUUUAACGAAAAAAAUUAUUGGAGAAGAUAAUAAAAAGAGAAAAAUAAAAUUAUCAAGUACUAAAUAGAUACACUUUAAACCACAAGAUAUUAAAAUAAAAAAAAGAGUACGAAACUACAUAAAGUUUUCCAAUUUAUGUAGAAGCCAACAUAUAAGGACUUAAAACUGCCGCAAACAAGCUUUACUUUUACCAUCCCAUCUUACUGAGACAUAUCCAUUAUAAAUUACGAAGAGAUACUCACCACGGUGAGACCUAAAAACUAGUUAAAUGUUAAGGGGCCCCUCAUUUCAUUAUUGAAGUUAAGCGAGUUCGCCAAUUAUCUGUAAAACAUACUAUUUUUCUCACAUACAUAAUUUGAACAUGUUUUACGGAGAAAUUAUUCGCAGGGUUCUUCUCAUCUUCCAUUCAUUUAAGGUAACCUUUGCUCUUCAAACUCUCCACCGUAUCCUUGAUGAGCUUUUCAAGGGGAGUGAAGUGAAGGCCCAGCUCAAUCAACUUCUUCGAGGGACUCUCGGCCCUCACCACCCAAGGUUGUUUGUCCUCUUCAACCCUAUCAAACACGAACUAACACAAAUCAGAUAAAUUAAGCAAAGAAUUAUACGUAUUUGCGCAUAUAUAUGCCAACUAUGAAGAUAAAAAUUGGUGCCUAUUUCUAAGUCACAGCUUAAUCAGAGGCGUUUAACUAAAUUAAAAUGUAAGCGUUACCAACUGCACUGAGGACGCAACAGCAAAUACACACUAAUCUCGAGGAUAUAACUUGUAAUAGAGAGAGGUGCAUAUUUGCAAAUAUGUGUCUUAUAAGGGUAUAGGAGUAAGAACCUUUUAUGCAAGAGCAAAUAAUUUGAGUUAAACAUAGUCAGUCUCUUAUACCUUUUAACCGGAAAUUCGGGGUAGAGUUCUGCAAGCUUGGCCACAAAAUCAAUCCACCGUUCAAUGCGUUCUAAACACAGAUGCCGUCCCUGAGCUAAUCGGUUCUCGUAUAACAGUAUCAGCGCUUGCGCCACAUCCCUCACGUCGACGGACCCAAUGUAAAGAUUGUCCAUGUCAAAUUGGGCUCCUGAGUCAUGACGCGGUGCGAAUUUAAUAGUUACCGUGCUGCAGCAAUUUAUGGAGGUAUAAAACGAAGUAGUGCAAAGAAAGUGAAAGCUUUUGGGGAUGACUGUACUCAAACAGCACUUAGCUCCCGCAGUCAUUAAUUCGGAAGAAAAUAAAAUAAAAAUAUACAUGCCAUAUCUAACCUGGCAUGCAUGUUGUAAGUACCUCCUCUUAGAAAAUCAUACUUUGUUAAAUGUUUGAUAGUAUAGUCUAAUACCUACCUUGGAGAAGAUGAAGCAAGAUUUUGACACUGGCGCCGGCAAAAGGCGGGAGUAUCGGACCUAGCACCAUCCCGGGGUUGAUCACUACUAACUCCAAACCCUCCUUGGAAGCGAAUUCCCAUGCCGCCUUCUCUGCUAGAGUUUUCGACAAGCAGUACCAGAGCUGACAUAUCAUGCAGAGAAAAGUAUCAGGUUCACAAUGUGAAGAUUGUUGCUAAAUUAGCCUUGUAGGAUGUUUCAAAGAGAAAUUUUUUGCUUUGUUGCAAAAUACAAUUCCUAUGUUUUUUUCUUUUUUAGGCAAAGGUAGCAUGCUACUGUUUCAUUCGUUAAGAAAGUGAAUUAAGCACCAAGUUGAAGCAGCAAGGCUUCGGAGGAGACAAAGAAAAAUCACUAAGCACUAUAAAUCUCCCACAGAUCCCUACACAAGCGUAUAUCCACUAGAACAACUCCUGUGUUAACUGAAGAAUACUUUGUUCUAGCAAAACUAAAUCUAUUCAAGGUCUGAAUUGGUACACGACAUCGCCGUCGACCUGAUAAGUCAUUCGUUCAAUAUUUAUCGAUCUUAUUCUGUGUCGAAACAUGAAGCGAUAUUAUUAUCAUCGCAAUUUUUCGACACACCACUACCUCUCAAGUUGUUACCAUCUCCAGUUUUUAUGCAUACCUGAAGCUUCUUGAGAAGAUCAACAUCAGCCCAGGAAUCUUCGUUCACGGCCACAUCGACGGGCCAGUCGGGGUUGGGGAUCAUCGCAGCUUGCGAAGACACCAGCACUACUCGGCCAACUCCGCAUUCUUUUGCGGCACGGAGAACGUUAAGCGUGCCCUUCACUGCAGGAUCCAGCAGCUCCUUCUGCACACAAUCCAAUUUUAAAAACACUCAAUUUGUUUGUUUAACUGCACUGCUAGUCUCCGAACUUCAAAUCCUAAGUCAAACAUUCGACACUUCAAAUUUUUAAAAGUUUCAACAGCUGAUGGGCGAGUUGUGCACUGAUAUAUAGAUGCGACAGCAAUAACUUUUUACGUGCGUAACAAAGCACGAAAAAUAAAGUACUUCUGAAAGUUUAGGAGGGUCGAAUAUCCAACUAAAAAAUUCGAGGAAAGUAAAACUUAGCCUAAAAGUUCGCAAACUUUAAGGUAUCAUUUGAUUUGGAUAUAAGUAAGAAUUAUCUAUUUCAGAGAUAGGUAUAACUUCAGAUCUAAGAAAGAACUAGAUCAAUUUUAUGUUUGGAUAAAAAUUGAGUUAUUUUCAAAAAUUAAAAAAAUACAUUUUGAAUAAAUUAGAUGAAAAAAGAAGAAUAGCCGGUACUUAUAAAUAAAUAAUAAUAUUAUUACCCCACUGAUUAUAUUUGAAUUUGAAUUUUUUAAUUUUAUAUUUAUAUUUUUAAUUUUAACUUUUAAAUUUUAAAAUUUGAAAUUAAAAUUUAAAAUCUCAAAUUUUAAAUUUUAAAUUUUAAACUUUAAAUUUAAGAUCAAAUUUAAAUUUAAAAAAUAUAAAAUAUCAAAUUUUAAAUUUAAAAAUUUUAAAUAUCAAAUUUAAAAUUUAGAAUAUAAUAUUAUAAACUUUAAUUUUGAGAUUAUGAAUUAUAAAUUAUAAAUUUUAAUUUUUUAAAUUUUAAAUUUUAAAAAUAAAAAUAGAGGGAAACAGAGUGUUUUUUCCAUAGAUAAUUAUUUAAUAUUAAUUAGAUUAAUUAAUAAUUUAAUAUUAUAAUUAAAAUUAAUUUUUAGAGUUUAAUUAAUCUUUGUUCUAGGUUGUUUCAGAGAUAAGGAUGGAACAGCAAUUUAAAGUUUAUAUCAAAUUAUACCAGCUUAUCCUACAUAUUCAAAAAUAGUAAUUUUCGAAUACGAAAAAUAACGUUUGAAUAUAAAGAAGAUAUAUACGAGAUUAUUCAUCUUUUAUCUCCGAACCAAAUAGUGUGUUGAUACAUUCUAUCGUACACCCAAAAGGGCAUUGCAAACCUCAGGAUCCUGCAGGCCGUCAAGUAUGAGAGGCGAGGCCAAGUGGAAGACGCCGGCGGUGCCAUUCACCGCGGCGAGGAUGGAUGUUGGGUCAAGGAGGUCCAUCUCAAAGAGCCAGAGACGUGACGCCGCGCCAUCGAGGGCUUCCAGGUGCUUCGUCUCCCCCUCGUCCUCUAAAAAAAAAAAUUAUAAAAAUAUAUAUACAUUUUGUUUAAGAAACAAAUAGCGUAAUAUCUGUUUCAUUCAUUAAAAUUUUUGAAAACAAAUUAGAACGUUAAAUUUUUGAAAAAUAAAUUAGAAUUUUUUAUACGAAGAGAUUCGAGCUGACAAAUAACAUUCAAUCCGUACUCCGAGAAAGAUUGUGUGUGCUGGAUACUAGAAAGUAACUUCUGAGUAUAUUAUUUUUAUAUUUUAGAGUGAUUAUAUUGGUAGAAACAUAUUGUAAAAUGUUACAAAACUUGUGGUCUCGCGUUUUGAGCAAUUGCUAAAGUAUAUAAAAUAAAUAUUUAUUUUUUAAAAAUUUAAACUAUCAGAUAAUAAAUACAGUUAAUAUUUAUAUUUAAGUAUCUAAGUAAAUUUUUUAAAAAAAUAAUAUAACGUCAUGAAUCUGGACAGAACUCGAAACUCUCUGUUCUGAUAUUAUAUUAAAUUAUAUAAAAUAUUAAAAAUAAUAAAUUUUUAGAGUAAUAUUACUGGUAAUAAUCUGACAAAUAUUAAAGAGUAAACAUAUAACAACAAAUUUAGAGGGGAAAAAAAAAUGAGAGAGAGUACUGAGAUUCUUGACGGUGGCGUGGACGGAGUAGCCGCGCUGCAGCAGGAAGCGGAGCAGCCACGAUCCGAUGAAGCCGCUCCCUCCGGUCACGCAAACGCGCAAACUGCUGCUGCCCUGCAUCGACAUCUCUUUCUUUUUUUUCCUCGCUCUCUCUACGUAAACUAUUAUUAUUUGCAAAAUUUGCUGCUUUUGUUUUUCAUCUCAGUGUGUGCAGUAUAUGUGCCUAUUUAUUUAUAAGUUUUAUGAAUGGGGAAUAUUUGAGAGGCUCCAAACACUCUCUCCAUCCCAGCAGGAUGGAUGUGGACGAGAGAUGUCAACGGUUGUAUUCGGGGUGGAUUUCUAAAAAUUUGAACCCGAGCCCGGCUCCAAACCCGAGAUCUGAAUCCGACGAAUUUUAAAAAUUCAUAUCCAAAUUCGAAUCCGACCAAAAAUUUGAAACUCGAAUCCGAAUCCGAAAAUUUAAACCCGAAACAAUUAUUUUUUUUUCAAUAUUUCAAAAUAUAAUAUAUUAAAUCUAAAUUUUUAAAAUAUAAAUUCAAAUAUAACAUCAAAUAUAUAUAUAUAUAUAUAUACUAGUUGAAUGUACGUGCAAAUGCACGUAACAAUUAUUAUAAUUUAUUUCAAAUUAAUAUAAAUUUGUACAUUAUAUAUAUCCAAAAUUUUACAAUAAAAAUUAUAUUUAUAAAUUAAUAUAUUAUAUUUUAUUAGAAAAUAUUUACAAUAUCCUAUAAUGUUCUUUUUUUUAUAUACAUCAAAUAUUUUUAUAUACUUUUUUAUUUCAGAUGAAUCAACUUUAAAUAUGUAUUUUAAACUAAAAGCAUUAAAAUUUAAUUCACAUUUACUUUAAAAUUUAAAAUUUAAUUUUGAUCCACUGUAAUAAAAAAAUUAAUUGUUAAUUCAAAUUUGAUACAAAUUAAAUUUAAUUCAUAAUUUAAACUCAAAUUUUAAUUUUAAUGUAAAAUAGAUGAAUAAAUAUUUGAGAUAUUUUUAAUUUUGAUCAUAACCGUUUGUUUUUAUUUGAGAUAUUUUUUAACAAAUUGAUUAUAAUCGUCCCUAGAAUUAAAUUUAUAAAUGGAUAGGAAUGAUGCUUUUUAGGGCUUGUUUGGUUCAUCCAUUUUGGGUAUGGAAUCGGAAUCGGUUUGAUCAAAUUCGGAUAAUUUUGUUUGGUUCGCAUAAAUCGGUUUGGGAUUCCUAUUCCGGACUGGAAUGGGAAUGGCCCAUUAGCCUUCAACUUGUUUCCGGUCUUCUAGCCCGGAUUGAAAUUUCAUUUCGGAAGCCCACUAAGUCCUCGAAGCCCAUGUGACCAUCUCACCCUCCUUCUCUUCACCCAUUUCUCAUCAAAAAAAAAAAAAAAACCUAUCCUCUCUCAAAACUCUAUCCCUAAUCCACAUGAAUAAAAGUUUUUAAAAAUAAAUUUGAUAUUUUUUUUGAAAAACUUAUUAGAGAAUAGUAUUAUAUUUUUCAUAAAUUUUAAAUAAUAUAAAUUUAUAUUUGAGAGUAAAAUUAGUAUUAUAGUAUCCUAUAAUUUUUUUAGUUUAUACGAAUCAAAUAAUGAAAUGUGAAUAACUCAUUCCAAUUCCGAAUCCACAAAUAAACCAAACAUCUUGGGGAAGUGGGUCAUUCCAAUUACCAUUCCAAUUCAUUCUCAUUCCAUUAUCCAUUCCAAUUCCACCCUUGAAUCAAACAAGCCUUAUAGAUGAUUAUAACGGUUUUUAUUUGAGAUAUUUUUUAAGGAAUAGAUAUUAAUAGAUGUAGAGAUUUAAUAGAUUGAUCAUAACUGUUCAUUUUAUUUGAGAUAUUUUUAACAAAUUAAUCAUAACCAUUGUAGAGAAUAUUAUUUUAUUCUUUUUUAGAUUCCGUCUGUCAUUGUCGGAAUUCCUAUACGCUUUUAUAUAUAGUAUAUAUAUAUAUAUAUAUAUAUAUAUAUAUAUAUAAAAUACAAAAUAAAUUCGGGUUCGGAUCGAAUUCGGGUUGGGUUCGGAUACAAUCAAAUUCCAUAUCUAAAUUCAUAUCGGUCGAGUUUUUAUAUUUUAUAUCCAUAUCUAAAUUCAUAUCCAUAUACGUCGAAUAUAUUCAUUUUAUUCGGAUUCGAAUUAGGAUAAAAUUUUGAAUAUUCAUAUCUAUUGACAUUUUAAUGUAAACCCUGCUCGUCUCUCUCCGGAAGCAGUGGGUCCUGGGAGCUGCAAUUUAAUGCGAAGAUUUGGAAUUCGGAAUUCAUUAAAUAUCAUUUAAUAGGUAGAUUCUUUUCGAUUAUUAAUACGAACGACAUAGUUGGGGUUCCGUCACUGUCACGUUCCGUUGUUACCUCCAUCUUUAUCUGUAGAGUUGGGACAUGAGCGAAUGCUCUCAAUAUUAUUGUUUUUGAAUUGCUAAGACUUAGUUUGGUAUUGAGAUCUAUAUAAUGUCAUUAGAUAUAUUAGAGUUAAAAAAAAAUAUAUAGAGAUAUACUUCUGCGUUCUCCGAUGGAACUGCAAAAAAUAUAUCGUAACCGACUAACCGCAAUAUUUGAAACGCAAGAAAAUAAACAUGUAAUUUUUUCAUCGUCUUAUAACACAAUCUUCCUGAAAUCCCAAACGAAGCCUAAGUUGGACCUGCUUUCUAAGAUGAUGUUUUUGUUUUUUCGGAUCCCUUUAUACGCUGUACAAUUAAUAUAUAUGUUGUUGACUUGAUAAUAAAUUUAAUAUUAGAAAUUUGAAGUGAUUGUCGAAAUUUUUAAAUUUAACAUAAGAAAUUUAAAAUUUAACUUUAUAAAUAGCAUUUUUCAUAAUUUUACAUACACUAUCCAACUAGUAGCAUUAUAAGAGAUAAAAAUAAUAAAUAAACUCGCAAACAAUAAAAUGGAUUAAAUCCCUACUUUUAAAAAAAUUCUGUCAGAUAUUUUGAAAAAAAAUAAUUAUUUGAAAUUAUAUUUGAAAUGACUGAUUAAAAGAACUAAAAUUUCAAAACUGUGUGGAAAAGUCGUAGUGUCAUAACUCCACACAUAGCACAAGAUAAUUGAGGACCUCCCAGUAUCCACAAACUAUACAAAUCAGAUUACUUCUUGCAUAUAGAUUCUCAUUAAAAUUAUUAAAUAUAAAUAUUCAAAAUAUUAUUUUUUGAUAAUUUAAAUUUUAAAAAAAAUAACCGGCGUUAAUAUGGUACCAGAAUAGGAGUUCUUGAGCACGUCUUAGGCGGAGAUAAACAAUAAAAAUGAAUAAAGAUUCCCUCCAUUAAUCCAAAAUGUCCCUAAUUAAGUGUUUGCUUUAUGUACGCUAUCUUAACUUUCGAAUUUUCUAAGUUUUAAAAUUUUAUUAAAUUUAAUGAUGAUAUAUUAGUUAGGGAAAACUUUAAAAAUCCCCCUGUGGUUUCACAUUUUUUCAUUUUAGUACCCUGUGGUUUAAAGUUUAUCAAGUUAGUACCAUGUGGUUUCUCACUUUAUCACUUUAAUACCCUGUGGUUUAAAGUGUAUCAAGUGAGUACCCUGUGGUUUUGCACUUUACUAUUUUAGUACCCUGUGGUUUUAAUUUUGUAUCAAGUUAGUACCUAUAAUUUUUUAAAUCACAGGGUACUUAAGUGAUAAAGUGUGAAACCACAGGGUACUAAAGUGAUAAAGUGCAAAAUCACGGGGUACUAACUUGAUAUACUUUAAACCACAUGGUGCUAAAAUGAUAAAGUGAGAAACCAUAGGGUACUAACUUGAUAUAUUUUAAACUAUACGGUACUAAAGUGAAAAAAUUAAAAUCACAAGGGGGUUUUCGAAGUUUUCCCUAUUAGUUAUUAGUGACUAACUUUUUUAGUUUUUUUAACUAGUUAAUUGAAAUAAUUAUGAAGUACGCAUUCGAUUUGUGAAUCGAUUUGGGAUUGAGACGACUACACUUAAGAUUGGAUUGAGUGGACGUAAUUAACCGACAAGGUCAUGAUGAGAUAGGCGAUUAUUGUUGAGUUAGCAAUUUGGAGCCAUUAUUAAGAAAAAUUGUAAUUGAAACAAGAGUGAAAAAUUGUAAUUGAAAGGAAGAGUGAAUUUUGUGAAAAAUUUUUAAGAAUUUUUUUUUCUUUUGUGUGUGUAAUAAAAUUGAAGAUUUAAUUACAAAUGGUAAGUUCACGUGAUGACGAUAGAUAUAAAAAGUAAGACAUAAAUGCUAAAGAUUUGGUAUUUUUGAUGAGAUUGGAAUGGGCAACAAUUUCCGGUGUCAAUGAAUCUAUUCCAUCUGCUCUUCAUUAUGUUUGUGAAUGGCAGAUACAACUGAUGAUCCGAUUACGAAACACUCAAAUACAUGACGAAUUAUUUUCUCAAAAUAGCUUUUUUUUCAAAAACUUUUUUUUCUGAUCGCAUGAAAGACUAGUAUUUUUAUUUUUUUAAAACUUUUUAUUCAAAAAACAAAAAUUAUAAAAAAUAAUAUUUUUAUGAAAUAUUUUUUAAAAAAAUUUAUUUUUUCUGUAAGAAUUUUGAGAGAAAGCACGCACCUCAGCCUCUUCCAGAAGAUGGCUGACAUGACAAUCAACUCUGAAAACUACUUGCUAAUUACGACACAUUUACAUGGCAUGAAAAAUUAUUUAUAAACUAUUUAUAAGGAUGCUCUUUGGAUGGCUAUAUACUAGGGCGAUUUGGGUUAUUCUGGCAGGAUUACUACAUUUGAUUCAUUCGGCAUGUAAUCUAUUCGGUAUUAUAGCAUUAUAAAAAAUAUAAAACUACACCGAAAAAUUAAGAAAAGCGUCUCUAAGCAUCAUUACUAUGUACUAAAUACCAACGUUUCAAAAAAUAUUGUCACAUGAAUUGUUUACUAUAUCAAACCAAUAUAUCGAUUGUAUUAUUAUUUUUAAUUUUCUGACACUUUGAAUUGUUAGGAUUUAAAAAAAUUCCGUCUGAAUAUAUUUCAUCAAUGAUACAUAUCCGACGACUCUUUAUCGAUAGAUUAUUUUAGAAUACUUUGUAAACAACGUUAAAUAUAAAAAAAAAUGCUCGUUAAAUAUUAUUUUUUUUAUAGUAAUACAAACACUGAUGAGUGAUUAUUAGAACUCUUGAGGUGCAUGCGUGUAAAAUUAAUCUUCUAAUUAAAUCCUUUUGUGGCAUCGGAGCAAUAACAUAUCCCCAGUGCAUCAACGGCCUGGGGAGGGAAGAUGCAUGUAACAUUCUUAAAGUGCCCAUAUGCUGCACAAAGCUUGAUGCAAUCUUUGUUUUCGCGACACUCCCCAACGUAUCCACCGACACCGUCAUAGCCCUUGUGAUCAUCUUCGGGGAGAAACCCUACACAGUAAAUAAGCAUCCAAUCAAUUACAUUACAUGUAUAUCAAUUAAAAAGAACUUGGGCCUUGAGAUUUUUUACAUUGCAAAUUAUCUAGCUCUGUAUCUAUCACUUCAAAUUUGAAAUUAUACAAAUUUUAGUGAAAAACUUAAUUUUCUUUAUUUUCUGGUGCUCAAAUUCAGAACCAACUUCACCCAUCAUACGGACACUUCCAAAGAAGUAACGUUUGAAAGGGUAUAUAUAUAUAUAUAAAAUCUCCAUAAAUAAAAAUGUUAAUUGAACUUUCAAAUAUAAAAGUUAAGGGAAUUUGCAUGAAUAAAUGGAAGAGGGAAAAAAAAGAAGAAGAAGUUUUUUUUGUUGAUUAUGUCGCAUACUGGUGGAUUGAAUAGUCGUGGCAAGAAACAGGAGGAGGAAGCUUAGCACUGUUAUGAAGCACUUGUUGGAAGCCUUUUUGAUCAGCUGAAACCUAAAAAGCAAAAGAUAAUAAUAAAAAAGAAGUUUGUAUAAAAGUUGGUUUAAUUUGGGAUUUAAUAAGAAGAACCAAUAUUUAAUAAGAAGAACCAAUAUUAUACUACCUUUUUUCUUGUAGAUUUCGCGCUCUUGCUCAUUGUUAAUGCCCUAUAUAUAUAGAGAGAGAGAGUAGGGCUAGAAUACUUGUAAAAGCAUCAUGAGGGUGAUACUUGUGUGUUUUUAGCCCUUGGAUAGAAAGAUGUGAGGUUGAGAUGAUGGUGGUAGGUGGUAUAUAUAUAUAUAUAUAUAUAUAUAUAUAUAUUUUAACUCGAGUAUACGAAAAUUUUCAUGUUCAGUAACCAUGAAUAUUCAAAAGCCGGGAACCUAAUUUCUUACACACCAAUUUUACUACACCCGAGGAAUCCCAACUCACUCAUCAAACAAUUUAUCAUACUAGAUUGCCUACUUUUACUAGUUUCUAUAUCUAGAUUGCCAUUUUUUAAAUGUUUGUGGUUUACGACACACGAAAAUGUUCGUGGUAUCGGCCUGAUAUAUAUAUAUAUAUAUAUAUAUAUCUCAACUCGAUACUAUGAAAAUGUUCAUAGUGGUAGUACUACGAUAAUCUAAAAUUCGAUAACCUAGAUGAAAAACUAAUAAUUACCGGGAACCUAAUUUGUGAUAAGGUGGAUGGNUCUUUCGGGACAACAUUAUUUGCAUAUUUAAUAAAAAGGUGUGAAUCUGACCCUCUUUUCAUUGAUACACUAGUCUCGUUAAUCUUUUUUAAAGAGGCAAUUUUUUAUAUAUUUCUAAAAAGUUUCAAUUUUUUUAAUUUACUUAAAAGACUAAUAAUAUAAAUAAAAAUUUAACGUUCUAAAUUCUUUCAAAUAUACCUCUUAAGUUAGGAUAAAAAAAUAUUUUGACCUUAUUUUAAUUGUAGUAAAAAUUUAAUUUAAAUUUAACCCAAGAUAACUUAACGAAUACUAACAACAACGGAGUUAUUUUUGAAUAAUAGAAAAAUACACGAAAACUAUAUUUGAAGCAAAAAAAAAAAGAAAUAUAUAAAAUAUUUCAAAAAUUUUGAAGGCUAUAUAGAUAAUUAUCUAUUCUUUUUAAUAUAGUAAAAAAAUUUUAAAAAAAAGUUUAAAUUUUUGAAAAAGUAGAUACAAAAUUUGUACAUUUUUUUUGGAUAUACAAAUAGUAAUUUUCUUUCUUCUAGGGGGGGUUGUUUUUAAUAAUGCUGCUAUGUGCAUGUACAAUCAUGUUGGUGGCCAGAGAAAUUAAAGGAAAGUUCCUUCGUGUGUACUUUUUCUUUUAUUUAUACAAAUCAUUUGAAUUAUUACUGUGUGAAGUGGAUGAACGUGCACCUUAUAAAAUGAGAAGGGAUAGGUCAAGAGGUAUAAGUACCCAUCAAAAGGAUUUGCAAGAUUGCAGGGAAAAAUUGACUCUGCUUUUUCCUAGUUGGUAUUAUUAUCCUUUCUCCAAAAAAACAAAAGGAAAAAAGAAAAAAAUUCCUAUGUAGGAGAAUAUAUGUGGGUCGUGCUGGGCCCAUGCUAUUAAAUAGAAAUUAGCCUGCGAUCACUUCACACUGGAGACAAGAUAGUUUUGGGUGCCAAUAAAUGAACAUGAAAAACAGUAAAUUUUCCACUGAAAGAUCUACUUUUAUUAUAUUUGCAAAAACUAAAGAAAAUGAAAAGCAUUCAUCGAAACUUCCAUUACAAUAGUAAUUCGCCAUUUUAAUAGGUAAUGGAUUGAACUAAAGAAGAAGCAGAAGAUAAAAGCUAAAGAAUCUAGCAUCAUUCAUCUCAUUGGCCCUCAUUACUGCUGCAUCUAUAUUAUGUUCUAACAGGACAUGAACCAGCUAUAAUAUUCAAAGGUCAAUAUGCAGGAAGAGCAUCCAACUAUAAAAGCGAGGCGGAUGUAACAAUUAAGUCCAUUCCCUUCCUAAUGUCUUAUGCAAUAGCAUGUCCCUCGUGCAGAAGCAUCUGAUCGAAAUGCCAAACUCCUGCACAAAAUCAGAGUAUAUUUUACGAAAGGAAAAAAGAAUAAACAUCGAAAUUUUAAGAUCAUGAUCUAUUAAGGGAGGAGAAAGAUGUCUCCUAAAGCCUUACCAUGUCCCUUGCCCACCAUUCUCAGCUGAGCAACAUAUUCAGACAUCUUUUUAAUGGCUUCCACCUGAACCGAAGAAAAAAAAGAGGGAAUUCGUAGAGGCAAUUUUAGCCAAGGAUAAAAUAUCCUAUAAAAUAAAAGAUACUGAAAAGGCAACAUGAAAAAGCAAGUUACAUCCUGUUGUAAUAAUACCAACUUAGUGUACGAUAUAGAUUCAAAAGGGCCAUAGAGAGAGUAAGUGGUUGAUUACUUAGAUACAAGCCGUAUGAUGAUAUCCCAACAUAAUAUUGGUAUAAUUCGAGAAAAAACAUGUUAGAAAAUUAUAUAUAACAAUAAUAAUAAUAAUUAAAUCCCUUAACAUGUUAGAAAAUUAGAAACGAAACACAAAAGUAAUACCCUGAUCCUGAAAUGGAAAAUAAAAGAAGAGUUAUUAAGAACAAAAAGCAGAUAACCAAAAGCUUUACCUGCUCCUCCAGAAAUUCACUUUCAAUGUAGUCUGCCAGCUGAGGAUCGCUGCACUUUUCUGCGACCUGUUGAUCGAGAUCAUAGAUGGCAUUGAAAAAUGAUCUUCGAUAAUGUUUUCCAAUACUCAUCAAAACUCUAAGGUUUCAUAUGCAGGGAUCACUUACACCGUGCAAUUUCAGAAGCUUCUCAUUUGUCAGUUUCUCAAGAGCUAAAGCCAACUCCAUUGCUGAACAAAUGAAAGAAAGUGUGUCAUAGCAAAUCUAAUUUGCAUCAGAUGCAGAAUAUAUUGCUAGUGAGCAUGCAUGAGCACAACCUUCUGGCUCGUUCAAUUUUAUUAUAUGAAAUAAUAAAUUAGUAAGGAAAGUAUGGCACUUGUUGGUGGGUAAUAUACCUUUCUAAUCUUAGGUUACUUUCAAACAACCCAAUACAAGACAUUAAUAUAAGAAAGACACAAAGAAACUUCUGAUAUGGAUAUUUUACUCUCCUUUUUUUUUUUUCUAAAUUUGCAAGGCACUAUUUAGUCAAAGUGCCAAAUAAAGUUUAAUCAAUAGACACAUAGUCACACUCAACUAGCAUAAUCAUAGUAUGAUGAUGCAACAAUUCAUUAUCUAAUACCAGUUUAUAAAGUAGAUUCUUCCUCGUUCUUGGCACCUCUAUAAGUUAUAUAUUUCACAAAUAGUAGAAACGAUGUGGAUGUAAAUUAUUAAAUAAAUGCAUAGACACGCUAUGCUAUUCAUGUAAACUUAUCAUGACAACAACAGAUGAGUAAAAUACAAUAUGACAAUUGAUCUACAAAUGGCUUUUUCCAUGCUAAAAAAGUAACGCCGACAAGAAGCGUACCAUACAAAGCAUCGCCUUUCUCAGCAUGAUCAAACUCACUUAAGGGCAUCAGUAUUGUCUGAAGCUUAACUCUGCCUCCACGUUUGUUCUAAAGACAUAAUAAUAAUAAUAAUAAUAAUAAUAAUAAUAAUUAAGUCCCUUACAUGUUAGAAAAUUAGAAAUGAAACACAAAAGUAAUACCCUGAUCCUGAAAUGGAAAACAAAAAAAAGAGAACGAUUAGAUAAAAUUAAGAAUCUUAGUAGAGACCUGGUACUUCAUAAGCUUCUCAGCAUGCUCCCUUUCCUCUUCGCUUGAUUCCUUGAAGAACCUGAGACCGAAGAAACCGACGCGUAGCUUAACAAUAUGAUCCCGCAGGCUUGAACAAAAUGAAAGAAAUGUUAAAUUUCAUCACAAAAUUACUUGGCAAGGCCCUUCAACGCGACGUUGUCCCGAUCAAAGUAUGCAAACAAGGCAUGAUACACGUAAGAAACGUUGUACUCAACACUGUAAACAAAAUCAAGAGAAAAAAAAAUAAUAAAUAGCACUAUGAAAUCACAUCGCAAACAGAUCAAAAGAAAAUAUAUGCAGUAAAAGAAUAAAAGUACUUGAACCAAACCAGAUGAUCCAAAGUGUCGGUUCUAAAAUAGAUCUUAGCCGUUAAUCACAAGAACAAACGGAAACAAAUCCACAAACAAUAAAAUAAUAUGUAGUAAAAUUGAAAGGAAACCGACUUGAUCUGUUCAUUGAUGGCGCCCUCGCAAUCAUCGGCGUACUUGUGGCGCGCGAGGGACUGGUCGAGGGCCUGGGGCACGAGCGCGAGCUCGCUCUUCACCUCCUCGAAGGGCUCGAAGACGACGCCGGUGAUGGCGCGGCUCGCCGACCCCCCCUUUGCGGCGGCCGCGAACAGCCUCCGGCGGGGGAGCCCCACGGCGGCCACGGCGGAGGGAAGGGAGAGCUCCGGCGAGCGCGAGAGGAGGGGGAAGGAGGGGGAGGAGGGGGCACGUAGAAGCAUGGCUAGGGUUUGGGAGGGGAAAUGGGAGGGGAGUGAGACCGAGGUGUGUGUUGGAAAUGGAGGGUGCGGGGGAGGAGGGCCAUGAUAUAGAGGGAGGGGCGAGGGUUUGGGGGGGUGUGGAUGCGCGACACGUGUACGGUGGGAUUAGAGAGGGUGGGAUGUGCGUGUGGAGGGCUCGUGGUCACCGCACGGCUUGAUCUUUCUACGGAUUGGUGGGGCGAGGAGGAAUCGUCGGGAUAUCCCCACCAUUUACAGGUUGGCAAUUUUUGNUUUUUUUUUUUUUUUUGGCUUUUUGGCUCCAUAAAAAUUUGUUAAAUUAUGCAAUAGUUAUUGGAAACUUAUUAUUCGUAUGAUAUAUUCGAAAAAGUCAUUAUUUUCAUAAUUUGAAAAAUAAUCAUCCCAAUAUUAAAAACUUUAAAAACUACUGUUUUUUAUUUUGAAAAAUGAUUAAAGAGUUUUUGUAAAUUUCUAGCGGUUACGGUUUUUAGAAAUUCAGUUUAUGAAUUUAGGGAAUGAUGUGGCUAUCGUUUGGAAUAAUUGGAUGACAAGACAUAGAACUCGGCCUACUCGUUCUAAACUGGCCGGAUUGAUAGUCUGUUGCUGCGUUAUUCAGAAAUAAUGUGAUUUUUAAAAAAGUUAAUACGAGUCCAUUCAACAGUCAAUAAAAUCGAGUACUUGAAGAACUUGUGGAAAUAAUUUAUCUCAAUAAAGUGGCUAGCCACUUCAUAUUCUCUUAAUUCUUUUAUUUAUUUUUUUCAUCUCGACCGAGCUCUACUAUCUCCUUCAUGUAAUCUAAUUCAUACUUCUAAUGAAUAAAGUAGUUAGCAUAUUAUCUUAAAAAAAUAUAUAUAUAGGGAGUUUUACUUGAAAAGAUAAGUUAAAGGGACAAAUGCAUUAGAGCUCGUUCUUUUGCAUAUAAGAAAUUAGCAUAUAAUUUUCUGAACAAUUCAAUCAUUCUAGUUAAUUCUUAAAAUAAGAUUAAUUAACUCUAAAAGUAAUGUGUUUCCGUAACGCCAUUUGCUUUGAACAUUCUUGGUAUUCACUGAACCAAAAUAGUUGACUCAUAAUUAUCGAAUUACAAUCCGUCGCGCAAUUAUUUCUCCAUAUUUUUACCUUAUUCAUUUUGUACGUAUUCAGUAAUUAAAUAGACAUUAACAGAAAAUUUUCUCCAUGGUUAGAAGCAAUCUCUCAAAUUUUAGUAUAAGCUGAGUUCUAAAAGGUGCCCUAUGUCUACAUGGUUUCACUCUACUAAGAACUCACAAAAAAUAAUAUGUAAACGUGUAAAUAUAACGGACAGAAUAAAAUAUCUCAGUACAUACUAAGAUACAAUAAAUUUUAAACAGAUUAGCUAAACAGAAACACUAUAAAGAUUUUGUAAACAACACAAAAAACAAAAAUAAGACAUGUUAAUCCUACUGCUCAACCCAAAUGAUUUUCCACAAGUUUGGUACGAAAUAAUCGGCUUACUUCGAACAACUCUGUUGCCAUUCCUAAUUAUCGAACUGCUCGAUUCAAGAUCAGCCUCUUAACGUCUUAAAAAUAUAUUAUUAUACAUAUAAAAAUAUGAAAUUUAAUUUUUAAAUAAUUUAAAUGGUAUAGAUCAUGUUAAAUAAUAUCGAUGGUGACGGUGACAGGGAAAAAAAAGAGAUAAGGAAAAAGCGACAGGGGUGGCACAUGCUCAGCACUUGCGGAGUUUGGGUCCCGUCGCAAUCCGGUGCGCGUGGAUGGCUCACGCUCUGUGUGGACGGAGAUUCCACGUGCUCGGUCCGCAGAAGAUCCAACCUUUAACUGGGUCAUUGUUAGCCUCACUGACACGUCUCUUUGACUCCCUUUUCCCUUCCCCACCACAACUUUAAUUGUCUAAUAAUAAUAAUAAUAAUAAUAAUAAUAUAAUAAUAAUAAUACCCCUUCACUAAUUUACCGCGACGUGACCUUUUGUUUCCUCGUGCUUUAGAAAAGCUUUCUAGAUUGUUACUGAAAAGACCCAUCUUUUCAAAAAGUAAACAAACUUGUGCAUAUUAAGAGGUUUUUAAAUUGAUUUAAAAAGAAAAGUUUAGGACUGAUUUUAAUACUAUAGUAUUCAAAAGAUCUGCAUUGCAGUAAAUAAUUUUGAGAUACAGAGACCAUAUAUUAGAGAGGAAACACAAGAAAGAGAGAGAGAGAGAGAGAGAGAGAGAGAGAGAGAGGAGAUUAAGAGCUACCGUUUAUGAUCGUGUGCAUUGAAAGUGUUUUUCUUUGUUGUAAGUUUGUGAUUUAUCAAACACUUUCAUUCAAGUGAUUAGCUCCGGUGAUAAUUCUACUCAAGUAGGAAUAUUUGAAGAUAUAUUAUAAGUACCAAGUGCUUGAUAUACAGUAAUUUUUUAUUGUAAGAUAAAUUAGGUUACUAUACUAUUAAUAGUAUUAAGUAUUUGGUAUUAUUAGAUUUCGAUUUUUGAAUGAGAGGAUGUGCGGUUAUAAUAAUAAUGAUUCUUUAGUUUUGAGAAAAUGAUUGAUUGAAUAGUAUAAUCUAACGGGUAAAAAUAAUAUAAAAAAAGGAUAGAUUUAACAACAGAAAACUCGAUAGCACUAGACGCUUAAUAUUAUCGAUAGUAUAGUAGUACAAGAGAUGCACAUAUAUAUUUCGAACCAAAAAUCUUUUCUCUUGAUGUAAAAUUUAGUUUAGUCUCCCGUCAUACAUUAAAAAAAAAAAAAAGAGGGUUGAGAAACACGAACUAUGCCACCUAAUGCAGUUCCUCUUUACAACUUGAUAACAACAACUAAGCAAUAAAUGGUCGAUGGUAAUCUUCUAUAUAGAGUAGAUGAGCACGCACACUAACUUAAUUUCAGGAGGGAAAGUGACAGGUGGGG
RNAcentral lists this long non-coding RNA (36433 nucleotides) under Ananas comosus (pineapple). RNAcentral's name for it is "long non-coding RNA (ACOM_LNC032198)". The record is from RNAcentral. Lineage: Eukaryota; Viridiplantae; Streptophyta; Magnoliopsida; Poales; Bromeliaceae.